Molecule: long non-coding RNA, 1312 nt
Filed under: Nicotiana benthamiana
Lineage: Eukaryota; Viridiplantae; Streptophyta; Magnoliopsida; Solanales; Solanaceae
Description: long non-coding RNA (NBEN_LNC032306)
Source: RNAcentral
GAAUUUCCAAACAAGCAAAGAUCCGCAAGUUCUAAGAAAUAGUAGAGAAAUUACUCACCUGACUUAGUCCUUGAUUGGGAUAUGGCUUUCCAAGAAAAUAAAAUAUUCACCAGAAAACUUCCUUAAGAAGAUAUUGCAUCCAUGCUAUAAAUAUCCAUUCAUUAAAUCUGCAACAAGCACAACGUUUGGCUUUUGUCAUUGAGCUAAAAUGGAAGCAGGAAAAGCAAAGAUGGUGCAUUUAGAAUUUCAAGAUUUGCUACCAAUUAUGGCCAGAAAACUAGGAGGAGAUGGACUGAUGAACGAGCUAUGCAAAGGGUACAGAAUUUUAAUGGAUGGUGACAAGGGAGUGAUCACCCUUGAUAGCCUAAAGAAGAACUCUGUGCUACUGGGGUUGCAAGAUUUCAGUGAAGAGGAGUUAAAGAAUAUGAUUAUGGAAGGAGAUAUGAAUGGUGAUGGAGCUCUUAAUCAGAUUGAAUUUUGUAUUUUGAUGUUUAGAUUAAGUCCUGACUUGUUAGCUGUGGCUCAACAAUUGUUACAUAUAUCUUUUGAAAAGAAUUAAGCCGAGGGUCUACUGAAAACAGCUUCUUCAAUCCUUUCGGUUGGGGGUAAGGCAUGCGUGCAUAUUAUCUUCCCUAGACCCCCACCUUGUAUAGUUGUUAUUGUUGUUGUAUCUUCUGAAAAGAAUGCCAUCCACCAUAAGUGAUGCUGCAUGCAGUAUGUGUCCUCUUCUUUCUUAUUUACUGAUCUUGAUAUGCUGAUUCACAUGUAAUGUUUCACACUUUCACUUGAUUUUUGAAUGUUACACUUGAUCUGCAUCUUGCACUCGAACAAGUCCCUUUGUCUGAUAGUAGCUCAUAAGGAAUCAAUUCGACUCCAAAUUUCGGAUAAUGUGAAGCUAUUGCCGAAAAAUUUAACCUCUGUUAGAUUUUGUUGAACUGUUUAUCAAAAAAAAUUAACAAGAACUUACAUCAGGUGUAGUAUUUUGCUACUGUUAAAAAAACAAAAUAAAAAGAACUCACCCGUCUAUUAUUUCUCGUUUAUUUCUGGAGCCUAGUGCAGCUUUUGUUGCGGUUUCUACCAAGUAUUUAUGCAAUUUCUAGUGUUUUUGGUUAAAUCUUUUUUUUCCCUCGUACCGCUAGACGAUCGCCAAAAUUUGUUACUCCCUCGUGUCCACAAUAAGUGAUAAUUUUAUUUUUUUUUAUUUUGAUCCAAAAUAAAUGUCUAUUUACAUAAUCAAGAAGAAAUUAAUUUUAUUUUUUCAAAAUUUACCUUAUUUACAUAUUUCAAUGUGUCAAGGAAACAAUUAAUUAAG